RNAcentral lists this long non-coding RNA (5195 nucleotides) under Triticum aestivum (bread wheat). Its description in RNAcentral is "long non-coding RNA (TAES_LNC000320)". Lineage: Eukaryota; Viridiplantae; Streptophyta; Magnoliopsida; Poales; Poaceae. The record is from RNAcentral.
CGCAGCGGAUCCGGCGCCCUCAUUGGCCAUUUCCCUCCGCCUGAUUCGGCUUCGGCGAAAGGCCGACCACGUGCUAGCGCUUCGAGAACUCGAUCGACCCUGUUACCGAACAGCGCAUUCCAUCCAUUUUCGCAGGUAGUGUUGCCCAGUAUAUGUAACACUCGGACCAAUGCCAACCAUGUUACAUGCUUAACUGCUGUAGUCGUUCCUAGUUAGGGUCCAACCGUCCAAGUCUAUGCAUAUCUUAAUACUUUUAGCUGAUCUUGUGCAGACUUAUUAUAGUUUUCGUGUCUGUUUGCAGAAAUGGAUGGAUUCUCAUGUUAGUGCCUGGCCGUAGCAUUAGUGCCCUUGAUUAGUUGACCUGGUGACGGUGGGGAAGACAUCACCAUAGUGGUAACAAAAAAAAACAUGUAGUCAGUCACAAUGGAGAGACUAGAGACAUGAAAUUUGGUGUUUGUGAAAAUAAACCACCUACCUUACGAUGUUGAUAGCGUUUACAGAGAUGUAGUAACUGAGUUGCUCCCACCAAAUUUGUUGAUAAAAAGAAAGCAUUGCUGUUAUGAGAAGAACACUCGGUGCCGUUAUGCAAGGAAAUAUCAGCCCAUCAUGCUGUUUAUUUGUUGAUUUGAAACACAACAACCUGCUACCAUUUUACAAUAGGUUCCUGCCAAUGCACACAACAAUUCACCUAUUGCAUCUUAUCUACUUAUGCCUAUUAGCUUAUAACGUCAACAGAGCCAACAAACAGUGUGCACAGCUCAAAUAUUUACAUCAGUUGCAUUUAAUGUCAAUAUGAAUAGGCAGGAUGGUCGUCUUCAUCAUCAUAUGACAUAAGAGCCUUCAGAAUCUCGUCCAUUGUCGGCCUCUCGCAUCUACCUCCAAGGCAUGCAACAGCUAUUCUCACUAUUGCAGUUGCCUGCUCUAGAUCGAAAUUCCCUUUCAAUCUGGGAUCCACUAGAUCAGUGAUCCUCUCAGUAGCCAGAAUCUGUUUGGCCUCCUGGAUGAAGUCUGGAAACUCCACUUGUCUUCCGUCGACCAUUAUGCCACUUGAAACCCUAGCUCCAGUCACAAUCUCCAGAAGCACAACACCGUAGCUGUAAACAUCAACCUUCGCAUUGAUCGGGGUAUUCAAUGCCCAUUCUGGUGCCAUGUAGCCCAUUGUGCCUCUCAUAUGGGUGAAAUUGAAGCUAGCGCUGUCUCGCUUCGCAAGCUUGGCUAGUCCAAAGUCUGCUAUUUUGGCACCGAAAUCUCGAGUUAGGAGUAUGUUUUCUGGCUUCACGUCACAAUGGACGAUCCACUCAAGGCAUUCAUGAUGAAGAUAAGCAAGACCCCUUGCUGCACCCACAGCGAUCUUGUACCUUUGGUUCCAAUCGAGCAGACUUUCAGUACUUCUCUCGCCAAAGAGGUACUUGUCCAGUGACUCAUUCUCCACAUACUCAUAUACUAAUAAUCUGUUUUUCCCUUCUGAGCAAAAUCCCAUCAUCCUGACCAAAUUUAUGUGAUUGAUCCUUCCAAUUAGAGUCACUUCUGCCCAGAAUUCCUCUUCUCCCUGUUGGACAUUUGUGAGUUUCUUUACUGCCACUAUUUUCUUAUCUUCAAGUACUCCUCUGUAAACAAUUCCAGCACCCCCUCUCCCAAUCUCUUCUUUGAACUUUCCAGUUGCUUCCCUCAAUUCUCGGUAUGUAAACCGCCUGAACUGGUUUGUUAUCAUCUUGUAUCCAUCCUCCAUUGAUUUGGGCAUGUUACUCUUUCUGAAAAAAAGACACCAUCCUGUCACAAUGACAAGCAACUCUAGAACUCCCAGUAUUGCACCAAAGACAUAUAAGUAUAUCCACUUUAUGUUGUCCUUCUUGAUUCCAUACAUAUUUGCUGAUCCUAGCAUAAUCUCUGAACCACUGGGUCUGCAGGUUAGGCCUUCCUGUUUGGAGAUCGAGGACGCUGAACCAUUGAAACUCUUUGGUACUUUCAUGUAGUUGUCUCCUGGGAAAUAUGGGUACACCUGACCGUUGUAGAGUAUGUUUUUAGUAUAACACCAACCAUCUCCACCCUUGUAUGUGAAAGAUAUACAUGAGCUGCUGUUGAGGCAAAUGUCCCAACAUGCUUCAAAUGAGAUGGAUUGAUUAGAACCCAGAUCAAAGCCAUAGAAGUCUGCAUGAGGUUGCUUAACAAAUGUAAAGUUAUCAUGUGGUUGAUUGCUGCCAAUUGUGAAUGUUGGUUUGCAUCCCUUGUUCCAGUCUGUUGGAUCAACCAUCACAUAUUCUGGAGGACAUCUACAUUUAAGGCCUUCUGAGUAGUCACAAAGCCCAUUCUUGCCGCACAAUCCGUGCACAUAGCACAUCUGUAUUACAGCCUGCCCUGUAACCACCCAUUUCCUUGCUGACGCAUCCAAGCUGUACAUUCUAAAAUUGCCAUCAUGAUCAAUUGUAAUCCUCCUCUUGAUCCCAGGGCCUGAAUCUGAAGCCACUAUUUUAAACCCAUCACUUGACACAAAAUUACCCUUGUCGUCCAGAAAUGCGACCCUGGUGCUGUUAUAUCUAUUGCGCCCAUUUUUCUGUGCAUCGUAAUCUGGACUUGGCCAGUAGAUGCUUGUAAUAUCUGGGCCAUCAUACAACAGGCGCAAGACAUUGUCGUUGUCAAAGUAGAGGUGAUGGUAACCAGAGGCUAACCUUAUGUCUUUCUUGAGUUUCUGCCAAGGGAGCAAGGUGUCUGUUGGUGAAUCAAAGCUCUGCCAUACGACUUUAUUGCUCGAAUCAUUGAUUACAAGGUUGCCAGUGUCGAGCAGGGAAACAAUUGUGUGCUUACCUGAAGAUGUCUUGCUUUCCCAUACCAUGGAGCCAUUUGUAUCUGCCAGGACCAGGUUUCCAUCCUGGUUCAGCGAUAUUCUGGAGCCGUGAAGGUUCACCGGGGAAUAGUAGCCAUUUGCUGCGGAGUAGGGAUUUGCCGUCCAGACAACCGUUUUCAUGGCGGUGUACCAGAUGGAGAAGGUGAAAGCAUUUGUCCCAACUCGAUGGAAGCCGCAGGAGAAGGUGGUGUCUGGUGAGAGGAGAAAGAUUCUGUCAUGGUCUUCUGGUCUCAUGUAUGAGCCGGUGGUCAUGGUCUGCCAUGGGGAAGCAGAAACGCAAGAGCAAAGGUGGAAGGAGAGAGAUGAAAGAAGGGCUAGAAAGAGCAGUGCAGCCAUUUUUCUCCUCUCCGGGGAGGUCUGCUUUGGGUAUGGAUGUGCAGAGAUUAGAGAGUGGUAAGGCAGCUUAAGUUCCAAAUGCUUUGCUUUUUAACUAGAUGACGAUGUGCAUUAGCACAUAGACCAAUUAUGUUAGAUGCUGACCUGAACUAUUGAAAACUAGACUGAGAAGACAAACUUGUCAUGCGGGUCCAGAGUGUACACAUUGUUUUGCUAUAGUUAAGGUAUUGGGUUGGUUGGCAUGAUGUCAACUAAUGGAACAUUGUGCGUAAAGGAUACUGCCAGUUACUAUUUACAAAUAAGACAUAGAAAGAGGCUAAUAGGCCCACACUUGCAUAAUCCAAAAAUAGUACUGUUAAACUAAUAAUUGAAUGUGAGACAAUGCUAACUAAGUAGACAGUGGUCACUACUAAUACAACAAUGUCUUCCGUCAAAUCAAAAACCUACCUACUCAUGGGACCUCCAAUGAGGUUCUUUUUUUUCUUCAACGACCUUAUCUGGUUCACACAAGUUUUUCGUCUUCAUAAGUUCAAAAAAGGAAAAGUUUUUCGUCUUCAUUCCAAGUAAAACCAAGGUGCAUACGUGCUGCAGCUUUAGAUUUUGCACGAUCUGUAUAUCUUAACUUUAGCGUUCAUAAUCUUCUUCACACAAGACCAAUUAUGUAUCCUGUUUUAGUUAUUUAACCAUUAACCAUUGUAUAGCAAACUUUUGAGAGCGGCGAUUUGGUGCCCGGGCUCAUCUGAACAGUACCGGCGUUAAAAAUAGUUUUUUUUUGUGAUGCAAGAUGGUCAAAUGCAUGGUGUUCAUGCAAAAUUUCAUAAAGUUUGGACAUUCGAUGAGCUCGUGGCAAAAAAAAUCAGGACUGUGAGAAACAUUUGAAAACAGCACUGUUCACACCUGAUUUUGUCUUUUUUGGCGCGCGCUCCUAGAAUGUCCAGACUUCAUCAAAUUUUGCAUGAACAUCAUGCACAUGCACAUCUUGCUUGCAAAAAAAAUUCGGAUUUUUUAGAUUUUUUUCUAUUUUUUACGGUGUUACUGUUCACUGGGCUCAUAUGAGCCCGGGCUCAGAGGUGGAUUAUCGCAAACUUUUGUGCUUUUGAGUUUCCCUUGAGAAAACUAAACGCCAUGCACAUGUUGUUUGUGUUGAACUAUUCUUACUUAUAGCCAUUGUUUGAUAAAGUCCGUUAGGUGGCGGUUGUUUCAGUAUUGUUAUCUUCGUAUUGUCGGACUGAUUGAUGGUUUUCAUUAGGCAACUGAAUAGAAUACCGGAGAUACUAGUAGUUAUUGACAGUAUCUCCAUGCAUGACUUGGCCUACUAGCUAGUACGUACUGGCUUGAUAUUUUCUGAAGUACUCAGUCAUCAUUGUCCUCUAAUUUCCACAUCGAUGUGUCACCAUCUUUACCCUAGUGGGCAUCUUAGCAAAGCAGGAAUCAGCAUCUCUCACUGUUUCUUUUUUUUCUUUUGGCCAGGAAAAAAAAACAGGGGAGCAACCAGGCAAACCCACUCUAUGCAAUUCUCUCAAAACUGAAAGAGGGCAGGUCGAGCCAGAGAUAGAUUGUCACCGGAGACGGCUUGAUUGUUUGAUGACUGCUCACGCUUAUUCAUGUGAACGUUGACCUAGUGACCUGACCUACAAGUAUUGGUGCGUCUUUGGUGUAUUUGUCUGCAUUUUUGUUCUCUCUUGGCUGUAGACUGUAUUUAGUCCUCGUGUGAAGCCGGGGGCAGCACCCAGUAUCAACAUACGCUGCUACUCUGAAACUGAAAGGGACGCACCCAUGGUUUUAGACUUCGAUUAGGAUGUGCGCAGUUUUUUCACACUGCUGUCAGUUUGUUAUCGGUCACUUGCUUCCGCAUUGGUUCCGUGGUUUAUCUUUCUGCGUGGUUGGUGCGCACUUGCUUGCUUUCAGAAAUAGUCCAAGUCAUGUGUGGACCGCACAAAACUCAAUGUGAUUAGUAUGAGUGAGUACCCUAUUUCAGAUUUUUGUCAUCGACAUCGACACCUAUAGCCGAUCCAGG